UACGUAGGGUGCAAGCGUUAUCCGGAAUUAUUGGGCGUAAAGAGCUCGUAGGCGGUUUGUCACGUCUGCUGUGAAAACUGGAGGCUCAACCUCCAGCCUGCAGUGGGUACGGGCAGACUAGAGUGCGGUAGGGGAGAUUGGAAUUCCUGGUGUAGCGGUGGAAUGCGCAGAUAUCAGGAGGAACACCGAUGGCGAAGGCAGGUCACUGGGCCACUACUGACGCUGAGGAGCGAAAGCAUGGGGAGCGAACAGG
Molecule: ribosomal RNA, 253 nt
Filed under: uncultured bacterium
Lineage: Bacteria
Description: partial 16S ribosomal RNA
Rfam family: Bacterial small subunit ribosomal RNA
Source: RNAcentral